GGGUUGUGAGGUUAAGCGACUAAGCGUACACGGUGGAUGCCCUGGCAGUCAGAGGCGAUGAAGGGCGUGCUAAUCUGCGAUAAGCGCCGGUAAGGUGAUAUGAACCGUUAUAACCGGCGAUACCCGAAUGGGGAAACCCAGUGUGACUCGUCACACUAUCAUUAACUGAAUCCAUAGGUUAAUGAGGCGAACCGGGGGAACUGAAACAUCUAAGUACCCCGAGGAAAAGAAAUCAACCGAGAUUCCCCCAGUAGCGGCGAGCGAACGGGGAGGAGCCCAGAGCCUGAAUCAGCAUGUGUGUUAGUGGAAGCGUCUGGAAAGGCGCGCGAUACAGGGUGACAGCCCCGUACACAAAAGCGCAUGUGCUGUGAGCUCGAUGAGUAGGGCGGGACACGUGGUAUCCUGUCUGAAUAUGGGGGGACCAUCCUCCAAGGCUAAAUACUCCUGACUGACCGAUAGUGAACCAGUACCGUGAGGGAAAGGCGAAAAGAACCCCGGCGAGGGGAGUGAAAAAGAACCUGAAACCGUGUACGUACAAGCAGUGGGAGCACAGGUUUACCUGUGUGACUGCGUACCUUUUGUAUAAUGGGUCAGCGACUUAUAUUCUGUAGCAAGGUUAACCGAAUAGGGGAGCCGGAGGGAAACCGAGUCUUAACCGGGCGUUAAGUUGCAGGGUAUAGACCCGAAACCCGGUGAUCUAGCCAUGGGCAGGUUGAAGGUUGGGUAACACUAACUGGAGGACCGAACCGACUAAUGUUGAAAAAUUAGCGGAUGACCUGUGGCUGGGGGUGAAAGGCCAAUCAAACCGGGAGAUAGCUGGUUCUCCCCGAAAGCUAUUUAGGUAGCGCCUCGUGAAUUCAUCUCCGGGGGUAGAGCACUGUUUCGGCUAGGGGGCCAUCCCGGCUUACCAACCCGAUGCAAACUGCGAAUACCGGAGAAUGUUAUCACGGGAGACACACGGCGGGUGCUAACGUCCGUCGUGAAGAGGGAAACAACCCAGACCGCCAGCUAAGGUCCCAAAGUCAUGGUUAAGUGGGAAACGAUGUGGGAAGGCCCAGACAGCCAGGAUGUUGGCUUAGAAGCAGCCAUCAUUUAAAGAAAGCGUAAUAGCUCACUGGUCGAGUCGGCCUGCGCGGAAGAUGUAACGGGGCUAAACCAUGCACCGAAGCUGCGGCAGCGACGCUGAUGCGUUGUUGGGUAGGGGAGCGUUCUGUAAGCCUGCGAAGGUGGCCUGUGAGGGUUGCUGGAGGUAUCAGAAGUGCGAAUGCUGACAUAAGUAACGAUAAAGCGGGUGAAAAGCCCGCUCGCCGGAAGACCAAGGGUUCCUGUCCAACGUUAAUCGGGGCAGGGUGAGUCGACCCCUAAGGCGAGGCCGAAAGGCGUAGUCGAUGGGAAACGGGUUAAUAUUCCCGUACUUGGUGUUACUGCGAAGGGGGGACGGAGAAGGCUAUGUUGGCCGGGCGACGGUUGUCCCGGUUUAAGCGUGUAGGCUGGUUUUCCAGGCAAAUCCGGAAAAUCAAGGCUGAGGCGUGAUGACGAGGCACUACGGUGCUGAAGCAACAAAUGCCCUGCUUCCAGGAAAAGCCUCUAAGCAUCAGGUAACAUCAAAUCGUACCCCAAACCGACACAGGUGGUCAGGUAGAGAAUACCAAGGCGCUUGAG
Molecule: ribosomal RNA, 1662 nt
Filed under: Salmonella enterica
Lineage: Bacteria; Pseudomonadati; Pseudomonadota; Gammaproteobacteria; Enterobacterales; Enterobacteriaceae
Also listed under: 1 other name
Description: partial 23S ribosomal RNA
Rfam family: Bacterial large subunit ribosomal RNA
Source: RNAcentral